Molecule: ribosomal RNA, 497 nt
Filed under: uncultured bacterium
Lineage: Bacteria
Description: partial 16S ribosomal RNA
Rfam family: Bacterial small subunit ribosomal RNA
Source: RNAcentral
GAUGAACGCUGGCGGCGUGCCUAAUACAUGCAAGUCGAGCGAACAGAUAAGGAGCUUGCUCCUUUGGCGUUAGCGGCGGACGGGUGAGUAACACGUGGGUAACCUACCUAUAAGACUGGGAUAACUUCGGGAAACCGGAGCUAAUACCGGAUAAUAUUUCGAACCGCAUGGUUCGAUAGUGAAAGAUGGUUUUGCUAUCACUUAUAGAUGGACCCGCGCCGUAUUAGCUAGUUGGUAAGGUAACGGCUUACCAAGGCGACGAUACGUAGCCGACCUGAGAGGGUGAUCGGCCACACUGGAACUGAGACACGGUCCAGACUCCUACGGGAGGCAGCAGUAGGGAAUCUUCCGCAAUGGGCGAAAGCCUGACGGAGCAACGCCGCGUGAGUGAUGAAGGUCUUCGGAUCGUAAAACUCUGUUAUUAGGGAAGAACAUACGUGUAAGUAACUGUGCACGUCUUGACGGUACCUAAUCAGAAAGCCACGGCUAACUACGUG